AGAAAGUUAUUUACGAUCACAUAUAGUGCGGGUGAUCCAGCUUUUGUGGUCCCUUUUGGUUACAUUUCAUGUGUCAACUUUUCAAACAUCUAAUCUUUGAUUAUUUUACAUGCUUAAAUAAAAUGGUUUAUUUCAUUAUCAUAGUACCAUAUAUAUAUAGUUCUGUUUAUAAAAUAUAUUUGCAUGAAACCGUCCAACCAAUUGGGGUCUACAGCUGCUGUUGUUUACUUUGUGUUGAAUGCCGAUUACCCAUUUGACUAAGUAACUCUUUUAUAUUGUCAACUUUCCAGUUUGUUUAUUUGGAUUGCUUCAUGUUUUAAGCCAUGUCGUUUAUUUAGUAUAAUGGUGGGCUCUAACCAAAUCCUGGCUGCUGAAUAGUAUGACGAUCGGUUUUCUCUUGCUUCAUUUAUGAUUCUUG
Molecule: long non-coding RNA, 418 nt
Organism: Hibiscus syriacus
Lineage: Eukaryota; Viridiplantae; Streptophyta; Magnoliopsida; Malvales; Malvaceae
Exons: 3
Source: RefSeq, a predicted model, not a curated record